AACUUUGUUUUCCAAUUCGGAGUUAAUUCAGGAAGCAACAGAAAAGCAUGCUAUUAUCUUUUUAAGUACAUUCAAGAGAAGCCCUGCACACAAGGGUAUGUGUUCAUAUUCCUCAUGCUGGUAUAUAUGCUAUCCUCAAAACUUCAUGCCAACCAGGUUGUACCUUCUUUAAAGACAAUGGACCUGUCCUACCAUUCCUACUGAGAUUGCUCAAAUGAUCAGUCCACUGUGCUGAUGAAUGUUCAGUAAAUGUAGCUGAAUACUGAAAGGGAAUAAAGGAAUUCAAAACUAUUGUGAAUUUUGAAAA
Molecule: long non-coding RNA, 307 nt
Filed under: Bos indicus x Bos taurus (hybrid cattle)
Lineage: Eukaryota; Metazoa; Chordata; Mammalia; Artiodactyla; Bovidae
Description: lncRNA (ENSBIXG00000026322.1)
Source: RNAcentral